GAAAAAGCUCGCAAGAACUGCUAAUUCAUGCCCCCCGCGUAUAACAGCGCGGCUUUUUCUU
Molecule: transfer RNA, 61 nt
Filed under: Plerotes anchietae (Anchieta's broad-faced fruit bat)
Lineage: Eukaryota; Metazoa; Chordata; Mammalia; Chiroptera; Pteropodidae
Description: tRNA-Ser
Source: RNAcentral